RNAcentral lists this non-coding RNA (109 nucleotides) under Pontibacillus litoralis. RNAcentral describes it as "TPP sequence". It matches the Rfam family "TPP riboswitch aptamer (THI element)". Rfam says of the family: Vitamin B(1) in its active form thiamin pyrophosphate (TPP) is an essential coenzyme that is synthesised by coupling of pyrimidine and thiazole moieties in bacteria. The previously detected thiamin-regulatory element, thi box was extended, resulting in a new, highly conserved RNA secondary structure, the THI element, which is widely distributed in eubacteria and also occurs in some archaea. The record is from RNAcentral. RNAcentral also lists the same sequence under 1 other name. Lineage: Bacteria; Bacillati; Bacillota; Bacilli; Caryophanales; Bacillaceae.
GAAGUCCACUAGGGGCGCUUCGUUUAAGAGGCUGAGAUAAAGCGUUUGCUUUGGUCCCUUUGAACCUGAUCUGGCUAAUACCAGCGAAGGGAAGUGGAGUCGGUUGGAU